This is a long non-coding RNA of Helianthus annuus (common sunflower), 1283 nucleotides long. RefSeq lists it as uncharacterized. NCBI's taxonomy places the organism in Eukaryota, Viridiplantae, Streptophyta, Magnoliopsida, Asterales, Asteraceae. The record is from RefSeq and is a predicted model, not a curated record. The transcript has 4 exons.
ACAAUGAUUCAAUGCUCAAAACCUUGAAUUUUUUUUUUGGUACAAUAUGUAAUGCAUCAUGUAUACCUCCCACUAAAAAACACAGAGACAUCUGAUUAAGGUUUCUCGAGCUCAUCAAAUCUCAUAUUUCAAAAUUUUAAUCUGUUUUCUCUCUGGCAAUUCAAGAAGAUCAACGAAGAUUUCACCAGAUCAAUGAAGGUUUCGACAACCUAAACCACAAUCGCAUCUCUACCGUCGCACAAUCCGCUCAAAUGAAUUUCGGCGACUCAAUUUGUGCUCCAAUCAUUCAACUACUGACGUAAUAGAGUGGAUUGAAGCAUAUUCAGAGACAGGAGCCUCAGUAGCUGCUACUUCAGGUUUUGCAAGCUCAUGGUCAUGGGGCCGUCGGCAUCUCAACGACAAUCAGUCUUCUAUUUCGUUUGGAUCUGGAGCUUAUUGCAAUCAAUAGUCCAUGGCAGAUUCAAGGCGAUUAUUGUUGUUUAGGGUUUGAUAUGGCGGUUUUUUUUUUUUUUUUUUUUUUUUUUUUUUUGUGAUUUUAAGACUGGAGUUAUUGUUUGGGGCUGAUUUAAGAACCAAUUGUCAAGGUGAGGUUUAUAUUUAAGUUCAUUAUAUUUCUGAUUACUCUUAAGUGUUUAAAGUGAUCAAAGGAUAUUUUUUUGUGUUAAUUUUACUGGUCUGUCGAAAGCUCACAGGAACAAAAAGGGAAUUCAAUAAAAAAAUUAGGUAGUUGUUUGUUUAACAGGAUGUAUAAUUUUUUUUCUUUUUAUCUUUUCAGCAAAUAGGACUUUUAAUCACAAAAUCAUGAUUUUAUUUUACCAAGAAUUAAGGUGAUAUUACUAUAUUAGUGAUGUGCCGUUUCAAGGCGUACGAUGAAUGCAAGUGAGUGUGUAUCCAAAGGUUGUGCUUUGGAGUGUGCUAUAAUUGGAGCUAUUCAUAUGACAACAUUGGCUAAUUAGUGUUUUAAUAUAUGAAUAGCUCAAGUUUUUAGGGCUACAAGUAGAUGCCAUUUUUGCCUUGUAAUAUUGUUUAGUUUGGUAUUUUGGCCUAAAUUAUGUACAUGUGUAAUAAUAGUAAGUGACUGAAAAUCAAUAUUUUUUAUAGGUCUACAAAAUAGCACUGCUUUCUUAUUCUUAAUAUGAUGCCCUUCUCAUGUAGGCUGUGGUUUUUUGGAUUUUGACUUGCUUGUCUACAAAUCCUGCAGUUGCUAGCCAGACAAGCAAGGAGGAGGUGGGUACAAGCUUCUGAUAUAAUAGACACACCCGCCGCAACGCACGGGCAUUCCC